Molecule: long non-coding RNA, 2582 nt
Filed under: Homo sapiens (human)
Lineage: Eukaryota; Metazoa; Chordata; Mammalia; Primates; Hominidae
Description: non-protein coding lnc-ZNF438-4:2
Source: RNAcentral
CAGGUCCUGGCCAUGCCAUCGGCAACCUGCUCGUCUUGUCCGUGAGGCCUUCCCAGCUGGCCGGGCUCACCCUGCAGCUCCUGCACCUGUGCCUGCCCGGGGAAUUGUGGGCCGUUUCCCACUCCUCUUCAACCGUCAGCGACAUCUUGGGCCUUCUUUUCCAGUCAGGUGGGACGGCGCCCCUAUGAGGCUGUGUCUUAUCCCUCGGAACACGGGCACCCCACAGAGGGUCCUGCGUCCUGUGGUCUGGAGCCCCCCCUCAAGGAAGAAACCCGUGCUGUCUCCUCACAACUCCAUAAUGUUUGGACACCUCAGCCCCGUAAGGAUCCCUUGUCUCAGAGGCAAGUUUAACCUUCAACUUCCUUCAUUAGAUGAUCAGGUGAUCCCAGCCAGGCUCCCGAAGACGGAGGUGAGCGCAGAAGAGCCCAAAGAAGCAACAGAGGUGAAAGACCAGGUAGAGACCCAGGGGCAGGAGGACAAUAAAAGGGGCCCCUGUAGCAAUGGGGAAGCAGCCUCCACCUCUAGGCCCCUGGAGACUCAGGGAAACCUCACUUCUUCCUGGUACAAUCCCAGGCCCUUGGAGGGAAAUGUCCACCUCAAGAGCUUGACAGAAAAGAAUCAGACUGACAAGGCCCAGGUGCAUGCAGUGAGUUUCUACUCCAAGGGCCAUGGAGUCGCCAGUUCACACAGCCCUGCUGGAGGCAUCCUUCCCUUUGGGAAGCCUGACCCACUUCCAACAGUGCUCCCUGCCCCAGUUCCGGGCUGCUCCCUGUGGCCAGAGAAGGCGGCCUUGAAGGUGCUGGGUGAAGACCACCUGCCCAGCUCUCCAGGCUUGCUGAUGGUGGGGGAGGACAUGCAGCCCAAGGAUCCUGCAGCUCUUGGAUCAAGUAGGUCUUCUCCACCCAGAGCUGCCGGCCACAGGUCCCACAAAAGAAAACUGUCGGGGCCACCGCUGCAGCUGCAACCGACCCCUCCCCUGCAACUGAGGUGUGAUAGAGACGAGCGGCCCCCACCGGCAAAGCUUCCAUGUCUAUCUCCUGAGGCACUGUUGGUGGGUCAGGCUUCCCAAAGAGAAGGACGCCUCCAGCAUGGCAACAUGCGUAAGAACAUGAGAGUGUUAAGUAGAAUAUCAAAAUUCAGGAGACUAAGACAGUUGCUUAGGAGGAGAAAGAAGACACGGCAGGGCAGGCGUGGUGGCUCAUGCCUGUAAUCCAGCACUUUGGGAGGCCCAGGCGGGCGGAUCAGGAGAUCAAGAGAUUGAGACCUGAGGAGCAUCUCUGCCUGCACCAUCUGGGAAGUGAGGAGCGCCUCUGCCCUGCUGCUCCACCAUCUGGGAAGUGAGGAGCGCCUGUGCCCGGCCACCGCACCAUCUGGGCAGUGAGGAGCGCCUCUGCCCGGCCCCCGCCCUGUCUGGGAAGCGACAAGAGCCUCUGCCCAGCAGCCUCACAGUCUGGGAAGUGAGGAGCGCCUCUGCCCAGGCCCUGCCCCGUCUGGGCAGUGAGGAGUGCCUCCGCCAGGCCGCCGCCCUGUCUGGGAAGUGAGGAGCGCCUCUGCCCAGCCACCGUCCCGUCUGCGAAGCGAGGAGUGCCUCUGCCCGGCCCCCCUACACUCUGGGAAGCGAGGAGUGCCUCUGCCCGGCCCCCCUACACUCUGGGAAGUGAGGAGCGCCUCUGCUCGGCCACCGCCCCGUCCGGGAAGUGAGGCGCGCCUCUGCCCAGCCGCCCACUAUCUGGGAAUUGAGGAGGAGCGCCGCCUCUGCCUGGCCUCCACCCCAUCUGGGAAGUGAGGAGCACCUCUGCCCAGCUGCCUCACAGUAUGGGAAGUGAGAAGCGCCUCUGCCCAGCCGCCGCCCCAUCUGGGAAACAAGGAGCGCCUCUGCCCCGCCGCCGUCCUGUCUGCGAAGUAAGGAGUGCCCCUGCCCGGCCUCCUCACCGUGUGGGAAAUGAGGAGCGCCUCUGCCCCGCCGCCGCCCCGUCUGCGAAGCGAGGAGUGCCUCUGCCCAGCCUCCUCACCGUCUGGGAAAUGAGGAGCGCCUCUGCCCUGCCGCCGUCCCGUCUGCGAAGCGAGGAGUGCCUCUGCCCGGCCUCCUCACCGUCUGGGAAAUGAGGAGUGCCCCUGCCUUGCCGCCGUCCCGUCUGCGAAGCGAGGAGUGCCUCUGCCCGGCCUCCUCACCGUCUGGGAAAUGAGGAGCGCCUCUGCCCUGCUGCCGUCCUGUCUGUGAAGUGAGGAGUGCCUCUGCCUGGCCUCCUCACCGUCUGGGAAAUGAGGAGCGCCUCUGCCCGGCCACCGUCCCAUCUGGGAAGUGAGGAGCGCCCCUGCCCAGCCGCCGCCCUGUCUGGAAAGUGAGGAGCACCUCUGCCCAGCCCCCUCACCAUUUGUAAGGGAGGAGUGCCUCUGCCCAGCCCCUGCACCGUCUGGGAAGUGAGGAGUGCCCCCACCCGGCCCCCUCACCAUCUGGGAAGUGAGGAGGGUCUCUGCCUGGCUGCUGUGCAACCUUCCAAGUGUGAAGUGACAGCCUUGUGUGUGAUCUUUCUGCCCUCCCCAGGUUUGCAUUUUCGACAUUAAAGUUUACUUUUUAAUUU